ACGGAGGGAGCUAGCGUUGUUCGGGAUUACUGGGCGUAAAGCGCACGUAGGCGGCUUUGUAAGUUAGAGGUGAAAGCCCGGGGCUCAACUCCGGAACUGCCCUUAAGACUGCAUCGCUUGAAUCCGGGAGAGGCGAGUGGAAUUCCGAGUGUAGAGGUGAAAUUCGUAGAUAUUCGGAAGAACACCAGUGGCGAAGGCGGCUCACUGGACCGGUAUUGACGCUGAGGUGCGAAAGCGUGGGGAGCAAACAGGA
RNAcentral lists this ribosomal RNA (253 nucleotides) under uncultured prokaryote. Its description in RNAcentral is "partial 16S ribosomal RNA". It matches the Rfam family "Bacterial small subunit ribosomal RNA", at positions 525 to 777 of the family's 1533-position model. The record is from RNAcentral.